RNAcentral lists this unclassified non-coding RNA (336 nucleotides) under soil metagenome. Its description in RNAcentral is "partial contains 5.8S ribosomal RNA, internal transcribed spacer 2, and large subunit ribosomal RNA". The stretch from base 1 to 120 matches the Rfam family "5.8S ribosomal RNA", at positions 35 to 154 of the family's 154-position model. The record is from RNAcentral.
GAUGAAGAACGUAGCGAAAUGCGAUAAGUAGUGUGAAUUGCAGAAUUCAGUGAAUCAUCGAAUCUUUGAACGCACAUUGCGCCCUUUGGUAUUCCUUAGGGCAUGCCUGUUCGAGCGUCAUCUAAACCUUCAAGCCCUGCUUGGUGUUGGGUGCCUGUCCCGCCUCCGCGCGUGGACUCACCUCAAAUCCAUUGGCGGCCCCCGCGUCGGCCACGAGCGCAGCAGAAACGCGAACUCGUGAGCCCGUCCGGGCGGCUCCCAGAAGCUAACCCCCAAUUUUUGACCUCGGAUCAGGUAGGGAUACCCGCUGAACUUAAGCAUAUCAUAAGCGGAGGA